GACGAACGCUGGCGGCGUGCCUAAUACAUGCAAGUAGAACGCUGAAGGAGGAGCUUGCUCUUCUGGAUGAGUUGCGAACGGGUGAGUAACGCGUAGGUAACCUGCCUGGUAGCGGGGGAUAACUAUUGGAAACGAUAGCUAAUACCGCAUAAUAGUAGAUGUUGCAUGAUAUUUACUUAAAAGGUGCAAUUGCACCACUACCAGAUGGACCUGCGUUGUAUUAGCUAGUUGGUGGGGUAACGGCUCACCAAGGCGACGAUACAUAGCCGACCUGAGAGGGUGAUCGGCCACACUGGGACUGAGACACGGCCCAGACUCCUACGGGAGGCAGCAGUAGGGAAUCUUCGGCAAUGGACGAAAGUCUGACCGAGCAACGCCGCGUGAGUGAAGAAGGUUUUCGGAUCGUAAAGCUCUGUUGUAAGAGAAGAACGAGUGUGAGAGUGGAAAGUUCACACUGUGACGGUAGCUUACCAGAAAGGGACGGCUAACUACGUG
This 495-nucleotide ribosomal RNA is filed under the name uncultured bacterium. RNAcentral describes it as "partial 16S ribosomal RNA". It matches the Rfam family "Bacterial small subunit ribosomal RNA", at positions 28 to 507 of the family's 1533-position model. The record is from RNAcentral.